GAUGAAGAACGUAGCGAAAUGCGAUACGUAACGUGAAUUGCAAAUUCAGUGAAUCAUCGAGUCUUUGAACGCACAUUGCGCCCCCUGGUAUUCCGGGGGGCAUGCCUGUCCGAGCGUCAUUGCUGCCCUCAAGCACGGCUUGUGUGUUGGGCCCCGUCCUCCGAUCCCGGGGGACGGGCCCGAAAGGCAGCGGCGGCACCGCGUCCGGUCCUCGAGCGUAUGGGGCUUUGUCACCCGCUCUGUAGGCCCGGCCGGCGCUUGCCGAUCAACCCAAAUUUUUAUCCAGGUUGACCUCGGAUCAGGUAGGGAUACCCGCUGAACUUAAGCAUAUCAAUAAGCGGAGGA
RNAcentral lists this unclassified non-coding RNA (345 nucleotides) under soil metagenome. RNAcentral describes it as "partial contains 5.8S ribosomal RNA, internal transcribed spacer 2, and large subunit ribosomal RNA". The stretch from base 1 to 119 matches the Rfam family "5.8S ribosomal RNA", at positions 35 to 154 of the family's 154-position model. The record is from RNAcentral.